Molecule: ribosomal RNA, 454 nt
Filed under: Plesionika crosnieri
Lineage: Eukaryota; Metazoa; Arthropoda; Malacostraca; Decapoda; Pandalidae
Description: 12S ribosomal RNA
Rfam family: Microsporidia small subunit ribosomal RNA (bases 122-454)
Source: RNAcentral
AGGUGAAAUCUGGUGCCGGUAGGGUGGGAGAUUGUUAGGUCAAGCGUGCUUUAGGCUGUUAAACUUUAGGCUCAAAGUAGGAUUAGAUACCCUGUUAUACUAAAGCGGGAAUAAGUCACUUGAGUAGUAAAUAGCUAUAUUCUGGAAACUUAAGGGAUUUGGCGGUACUUUAGUCUUGUUAGAGGAAUCUGUUCCGUAAACGAUAUGCCACGAAUUAUCUUUCUCUCUUUGGUAGAUCCGUUUGUAUACCACCAUUAUUAGACAGGUUUUAUAAAAUCUGUUGAAAUAGUUAAAAUCUAGUAUAUUAGGUCAAGGUGCAGUUAAUAGGAGAGUGGGAAAUGGAUUACAAUGGGACGGGUCGAUACGGAUUAAUGAUUGAAAUUUCAUUUUGAAGGUGGAUUUAAUAGUAAGAUUUGUUUAAUAAGCAAUUCUGAUAGAAGCUCUAAUGUAUGUA